RNAcentral lists this ribosomal RNA (301 nucleotides) under uncultured bacterium. RNAcentral describes it as "partial 16S ribosomal RNA". It matches the Rfam family "Bacterial small subunit ribosomal RNA", at positions 509 to 807 of the family's 1533-position model. The record is from RNAcentral.
CAGCCGCCGCGGUAAUACGUAGGGCGCAAGCGUUAUCCGGAAUUAUUGGGCGUAAAGAGCUCGUAGGCGGUUUGUCGCGUCUGCCGUGAAAGUCCGGGGCUCAACCCCGGAUCUGCGGUGGGUACGGGCAGACUAGAGUGAUGUAGGGGAGACUGGAAUUCCUGGUGUAGCGGUGAAAUGCGCAGAUAUCAGGAGGAACACCGAUGGCGAAGGCAGGUCUCUGGGCAUUAACUGACGCUGAGGAGCGAAAGCAUGGGGAGCGAACAGGAUUAGAUACCCCUGUAGUCCCUGUCUCUUAUAC